AAUAUUAAAAAAAACAUGAUACUGAUUCAGUACAAUACCAUAUACAUAUCAUUAUCUAUGAACUGACUUAAGAAAAAUUUAGACUACUAAAAUGCCUCUAUUCUGAUGGAGCCUCCAAAAGCAAAGCAACUAAAGCAUUGCAUUUAAAAUAUAAACAUAGCGAUAUAGUUUCAGUGCAAUAUAACACACCAAAGCAUUACAUAUGACCCAAGAGAAGAAUUGGAAUUGCAGCUUGCCACACCCCUCUUGCCCCCAGCCAUAUCCAACCCAGUAAGACAUGGUUUAUAUUCCAUGGGUUCAGAGAACAAAAUUAUCCAUAGCACUAUAGUCCAUUACAUGCCAAUGGUCCAUUUUUUAUACUAAACACAUCAAGGUUUAGCACGCUGUACCAAAAAAAGCAACAAAGAUUGUUCACUGUAACUAAUUCACAAUGCUUUAUCAAGCAUAGGAGUAAACUAUAUAGUUAACUAUUUAAGAUAGAUAGCCUUGUCCACUGAACCCAGAACCCGCCGCCAAUCACUUAAAUCCAGGGUAGUGGGCAGAGUUUCAUACCCACAUAAUUUCUGAGUAGCACAAAAGUCUGGUGAGUAUUCAGAUCAGAAGAAAUUGAUAAGCUAUUGAAUAUAAGCAUAAGUCUAAAAGUUGCUGUUAGGCUUUUUCACCAUAAAGACACAAAAUAUUCAUACAAUGGAUAAAAACCAACUGACCAAAGACAGAUAGAAAAACAUAUGCACAUAGGAACCAAAACCAACAUAAUCCGUAUGAUCAUUCACAGUAGUAGGUCCGUAACAUAGACCACAUUACUUUUCUGGAUCCUCAUAAAACAUCAAACAUUUUGUAGAUACUCAUAUAAUAUACCUAAAACGCUAAAACAUGUUGAUGGCCAGCACAUGUCUGAUCUUCUUUCUAACAAAGCAUCGCAAGCCAUACAAAUAAACAUGCUUUAUCGCAAAAAGUUUUACAAACCAAGCAUAUACACAUACUUGAGCGUUGAAAAAUGGAUAUAAUAGUGGGAAAGGGUAUAGUAGCAACAACAUUUGUACUCACCUUUGUGUAUACAAAACAAAUUAAAUAAAUCCACCCUUUAGUUGUCUUUUCUGCUGGAUAUCUCAUAUGCUUAACUCUGUUAGCAACCUGAUGCGGAUAAAAGAGAAGAUUGAUGCACAUGAAUAAAAACAAGAAAUGUAAAAAUAAGACGGGUAUUUCUUUUGCAGUAAGAGCAUUGUAUUAUAGAGUAAUUGUCCCCAGCCCGCGCCGCCGCAGACGUCCCCGCCGCACGGGCCGCAUCCCCAAGGGGUCCCGUAGCUGGUGUGGCGUGAGGGGCGGCGACCAGGCGAGUCCGUUGGUCGGGAACCUGGCCGGCACCGGCAGAUCCCGCUCCUCCUCGUACUCCUCCAGAUAGAGCUCUUCCGGCAAUACGGCACGGGAGCGCCACGUAGCCGGCCAGCAAGCUCUUCCAUACUUCUAGUUCUCGGCGAGCGCUCAGCCAGGUAUUGGCUGCACAACACUAUCAGUUACGUAGCAAUCAAAUCAUCAUCCCCAUUCAUCCAUUACCCAAACCAAUUAGGGGGGAAAUUACAUAGUAGAAAAAAACAACCUUAGCAUCAUGAAUUGCGUAAAAGAAGAAAGCUAACCACACAAUUGAAGUGAAAGUCUACCUUCAUGUGAUCCAUGACACAAUAGCUCUACAACUAAGAUGAGGUCGUUUUGGAGACACUAACGUGAUUACAUCACCUCAACUUCUGUCUUCCAGGCCGUCCAUCAAUGCAGACCAGCCAUAUAAAAUCUAAAUUACAUUGUGGGUCAAGAAAUCAAAAGGAGGAGCUCACUUGAGCUUUGGGACAACUCACUCACACGAACAUAUGUGCAUAAUAGACCCAGUCGCCCAAGCUUCUCAUAGUGUGAGCUGCUACUCUCCUACAUAAACCACAAUAGCAUUAUAGCGUAGUUCAACUCUUGGUCUUAUACAGGAGUCCGCUACUGUUGAAUAAAAACAGACCAAAACAGCAUUGUGGUGCAUUCGAAAUAAAAUAUUUUUUCCGUGGUCAUUAGAGAAUCAGGACACCUACUUUUUAGUUAAAUUCAACUUGGAAGAAGCUGAGAGCAAUUGUUCCUAAAAGUGCAAUAUCACAUUAGCUAAUAUUAGUAGUUCUUAGCAUUUCUUAAAACAACAAAUAUAAAUGAAAAGUUAGCCUUCUUUGGAAUGAAAUUUAGAACCAAGAGCUAAAAAUGUACAGUUUUGAUACCCAUUAGAUCCAAAACUCAGAACUAUGCAAGGAAAGCACUUACUCAAAAAACAAUGAACUUCAUGAUGAGUUCCGUUGAAGCAUUCAGAUCAACAGUGAACAUAAUCGCCCAUGAUGAUGCAUUCAUAAAAUAAAAUUCAGCAAGGCCCGAAGACUCACAUAAAGGCAGAGUCUCCAUAAAUUACUUUAGGAAAGCUGCAGAACUUGGUUAUCCCUAUGAUGCGACCGAUCUUGGAAUAAAUAAGUAUGCUUUGUUUGUCUAUUUCCAUCAUGGUCUAUUAAUAUAUGGAGUUACACUGUCACGGACCUCUCAUUAUAGACUACUGAACAUCUUCACUAUAAAGUCGGAUCAUAGAUGACCAUGUGAGCCGUGGAUGACCUUGAAGAUUUUAUCCAAAAUUUGAGAAGUUCUGGUACACCAAUAUAAGCUGAAUGAAUGUUAGCAGGGUUAUAUUCUUGACAUGAACACUUUUUCGGAGAAAUUCAAUAACUUAGUUUGUUUCUCGAUAAAUUAAGCAUUUAUCAUGUCAAUGCAAAUUUGAACUGACUUCAUUACUAAUUGUUUAUGACUAAGUUAAUUGUUCAUGCUUCAUACGACCCUCUUGGCUAAGUUAUUUGUUCGCCAUUAGACCAGCAUUUAAAAUAGAUCAAAGCCCAAAAAAACACAAAGUGAAUGGUAGGAAAAAGGGCUAUACCUUUGAUUCUCGAUGCAUUUCUGCAAAGAUGCUCCGUUAGAUCAAACUGGGAGAAAGUAGCUGUAUGGUACAAUGAAAACUGUUGGUCAGUUUUUGUAUGAUGUAGUAAUAUGGUGCCUGCAAUUUUGAAAUAAUAGGAAUUAGUAGGGCAUCGAGGUAGAUUACAAAUAACACAUAGUAGUACUAUAAGUUGGCUGCUAAAUCGGAUAUGCAUCCAGAAGGCGCAAAAAAUAAUCUGGUGAAUGAAGUAGAAGAUUGACACCUAACCAUAGGAAGUACUCAACCAUAGGCACGCAGCAAACUGCAUUAACUAAAGGAACAUGGCCGCAUGAAUCAAAUCAUUUAUUUGUCAAACAUACUUUGUCAUGCUGAAUGGAAUUCAACGCUGCAAAAAGGAAUAUUGUAAUAUAUCUAUUCUCUGGUCACCAAUACAAUCACUAAAUGCAAAAUAAAACAGCAUUCUCUUUCCAUCGAAAAGGAAUUCUCUAAUAACAGAGUCAUUAUCGAUCAAUUAGACCAAAGCUAGUCUGUAGCAGGCUCUUUAUAGAGGAAAUGCAUAUUUCAUUCAUGAUGGAAGAAAUCAAAGUGACUUUAACCAAAUUGAUGCAAGCAAUAACCAGAAUAAAUACCAGCCAGAAUAUCUCCCCAAAAAACAUGAAACACAGGUUUCAAACUGCUCCUCGAAGCAUGAGCCGGAUAAGGCAAGUUAGGUAUGUAUCUCCAUCAUUUUUAGUGGAUUUUGUUGGAGCGUCAAUAAUUUCAACACUCUACUAACUACCAACACCGAGCACAAAGGAAAACCAAAGCAUUUUAUUAUGGCUGCGACAUGAACUAAGAAGAGGACACCUAACGAAACAAUGAUCACAAUUUUUAUCAGACAGAAGCAUGAUGCACACACACACACCUCUCUGAUCCACCAUUGACUCCAAUUUCCAGAAUCCAGCCUACCUCUGCAUUAUAAAGUAUAUGAAAACAAAUCAUGUGGGCUGCAACCGCUACUAUUCCAGAUUAUUUGCCAGCACCCAGCAGAAACCAAACCAAGGCUCUGUCUCUCUAUCUUUUCCACUUAUUUGCUAACCUCUGUAAGGACGAAAUCUUUGGAGAAGAACGAUGAUGCCAAGUCUUGCUGCGGGCCGAACGGGUACAGGCGUUUUGCUGGCAAAAGAUACAUGUAAUUUUGUGAACAUUAGCAAUAUGACAUAUGCAAAGCACUGAAUAGUAGAUUCUGACUAGACCGAUUCAUGCCCAUUUUUAUUGACUUGGUUCUCACAAUUAAUGACAAAUGUUAAUUGGUUAGACUAAUCUGUUGAUCAUGCUUUAGCAGGUUACUUCAUCAAAUUUGGAAGAAAAAAUCCCAGCAAAAGUAAGGCGAGCUACAGCCUACAAGACUGUUAGUUUAGCAGGCAAUGAGUCCUACCACAAGGCCUUCACCUGCAAGGCUGCAACAACGACCCAGACAUCCCUUUAAUAGAUCCAAUUGUACAACAGCAAAAUGUAAAUAUGAAAGGGGCAAAGAAAAAGCGCAAGAGAUAGGCCAAAACCAAGAUCGUCGACCUUCUCUACCCAAUCGACUACAGGGGUAGCAUUUUCCUCUAUCAUUUAUUUUCUUGAAUGGCCAUCACAUCGAUACUUCUCUAGGUUACCUCACCAUAAAGAAAUAUAAUUGCAAGGAUAUCUCCUUUCAAAGUGCUUAGUUGUUUAGCUUCGGCAAACUGCGGAAUAUUAUGAGCUUUCAUGAGAAGUAUAGUACAAACCAUGAUGCUUGCCUUACAGACUGUGAUGCCUCCCGGUGCCUGCAGGCUGCACAGAGCCACACAUAAGAUGGAUCCAUGGAACCAAUCGCUGACAACAACCU
RNAcentral lists this long non-coding RNA (4796 nucleotides) under Triticum aestivum (bread wheat). RNAcentral's name for it is "long non-coding RNA (TAES_LNC004856)". Lineage: Eukaryota; Viridiplantae; Streptophyta; Magnoliopsida; Poales; Poaceae. The record is from RNAcentral.